CAUGGGGAAAAAACAACGUUCAACUUCAGUAACGGGCUUAAAAGGGAGAGGCACGUUCCUAGGCUGGAAGAACUCAAAGUAUCUCAAAACUGGAUUACUCUCUGCCACUGAAAAGCUGACACUCGUGGCGCCUUUGAGCAUGAAACUUCCUUCUACACCCGUCUCUGAACUGUCAUUGACAUGGAUU
This is a long non-coding RNA of Alosa sapidissima (American shad), 187 nucleotides long. RefSeq lists it as uncharacterized. The record is from RefSeq and is a predicted model, not a curated record. NCBI's taxonomy places the organism in Eukaryota, Metazoa, Chordata, Actinopteri, Clupeiformes, Clupeidae. The transcript has 2 exons.